UGGGGCGUGGUGUAACGGUAGCACUGCAGACUCUGACUCUGCCUGUCUUGGUUCGAAUCCAGGCGCCCCAGCCA
RNAcentral lists this transfer RNA (74 nucleotides) under Paraburkholderia sp. Its description in RNAcentral is "tRNA-Gln". It matches the Rfam family "tRNA". Rfam says of the family: Transfer RNA (tRNA) molecules are approximately 80 nucleotides in length. RNAcentral also lists the same sequence under 2 other names. Lineage: Bacteria; Pseudomonadati; Pseudomonadota; Betaproteobacteria; Burkholderiales; Burkholderiaceae. The record is from RNAcentral.